RNAcentral lists this long non-coding RNA (950 nucleotides) under Pan troglodytes (chimpanzee). RNAcentral's name for it is "long non-coding RNA NONPTRT005485". Lineage: Eukaryota; Metazoa; Chordata; Mammalia; Primates; Hominidae. The record is from RNAcentral.
GGCAUUUCUAACAGUUGGCGCCUGCGGAAAAUGGCCUGGGGUUCCAGCUCUGGAAGGUUCCGAAUCUCAGUAUUCACGAGCGGCGCUGUCCGGAGCAGCCAGGGUUGUCCCUUGGUGGUCUCGGGCAGGUUCUCCGCGAUGCGCUUGCUGGGUCGCAGGUGAGAACCUCACGGUUCUCCAUUUCCGGAGCUCCAGCUCUGAGCAGGCAGAGGGUCGCUCCCCUCGCCUGCCCCUGCGGUAGCCAAGCAGGUGGCUGGAAGCGUGGCUAGCUGGCAGGUAAGGAGCUCCAGGUGAGACGGAACACGACCCCCAACCCCCUUAGCCGGUGCCCCACCCGAUUUCUCUCCUGCGUCCUGGGAGGGCAUGGUUGAGGCGCCACCGGUGCCCAGCAACCUCCCCAGGCUGUGGUUGUGACCUGAGGACGCGUGUGUCCCCGCCCCCAGGCCACCGCUACGCGACCCUGAGUGCACCUUCAAGAAGGCCGGGCACGUUUCUGGGCGGGCGUGGGGGGUGCCUGAUAUCUCCGCUCUAUUUUACAGUUACUCCCCUGCUGGUGCCUCCCUCCUUGGCGCGCUUCCCACCUGCGAUCGGCGCCCUCUUCGCAGUCACGAACUCGCCAGCAGCUAGCAGCACUGACUAGUAGGAGGGCCCGCCGGAGGAGAGGAAGCCCCAGAGAGAUUGGUGAGGGUGAUUUCCCAGGAAGACGCAGUGUGCUCUGACUUCUGUGACAGUGAGCAACGGGACCAGUGGAUGUCCAGAUGCUGGCAAUGAGACAUACUCUGGAGUCAGAAGACAGCGAAAAGAGAAGCAGAAGCCCCGGUGGCAAGAGUCUGAAGGUGGGUUCCUUCCUGACAUGGGCAUUGGGCUGCGCAUGUGUGUUCGCAGUUCUUUCCAGCUGCUGUUCUGACCUCUUUGUGCAGUGUAUUUAUGUGGCUGUAGAUGGAUGGUCC